RNAcentral lists this ribosomal RNA (726 nucleotides) under Salmonella enterica subsp. enterica serovar Mbandaka. RNAcentral's name for it is "partial 23S ribosomal RNA". It matches the Rfam family "Bacterial large subunit ribosomal RNA", at positions 1 to 656 of the family's 2925-position model. Lineage: Bacteria; Pseudomonadati; Pseudomonadota; Gammaproteobacteria; Enterobacterales; Enterobacteriaceae. The record is from RNAcentral.
GGGUUGUGAGGUUAAGCGACUAAGCGUACACGGUGGAUGCCCUGGCAGUCAGAGGCGAUGAAGGACGUGCUAAUCUGCGAUAAGCGCCGGUAAGGUGAUAUGAACCGUUAUAACCGGCGAUUUCCGAAUGGGGAAACCCAGUGUGAUUCGUCACACUAUCAUUAACUGAAUCCAUAGGUUAAUGAGGCGAACCGGGGGAACUGAAACAUCUAAGUACCCCGAGGAAAAGAAAUCAACCGAGAUUCCCCCAGUAGCGGCGAGCGAACGGGGAGGAGCCCAGAGCCUGAAUCAGCAUGUGUGUUAGUGGAAGCGUCUGGAAAGGCGCGCGAUACAGGGUGACAGCCCCGUACACAAAAGCGCAUGUGCUGUGAGCUCGAUGAGUAGGGCGGGACACGUGGUAUCCUGUCUGAAUAUGGGGGGACCAUCCUCCAAGGCUAAAUACUCCUGACUGACCGAUAGUGAACCAGUACCGUGAGGGAAAGGCGAAAAGAACCCCGGCGAGGGGAGUGAAAAAGAACCUGAAACCGUGUACGUACAAGCAGUGGGAGCCCCACCACUAAGCCAGUGGUGAACUCCACAUACGCAUCCUUUGCUGAGGAUACGGUUAACGGAGCGAAAGCGACGUUCAACCUCAAAAGAAGCAGAGGGGGCUUAGUGGUGGGGUGACUGCGUACCUUUUGUAUAAUGGGUCAGCGACUUAUAUUCUGUAGCAAGGUUAACCGCAUA